GACGAACGCUGGCGGCGUGCUUAACACAUGCAAGUCGAACGGACAGGCCCUGCUUUUGUGGGGUGCUCGAGUGGCGAACGGGUGAGUAACACGUGAGUAACCUGCCCUUGACUUUGGGGUAACUUCAGGAAACUGGGGCUCAUACCGGAUAGGAGCUCCUGCUGCAUGGUGGGGGUUGGAAAGUUUCGGCGGUUGGGGCUGGUCUCGCGGCUUAUCCGCUUGUUGGUGGGGUAGUGGCUUACCAAGGCUUAGACGGGUAGCCGGCCUGAGAGGGGGACCGGCGACAUGGGGACUGAGAUACGGCGCAGAAGCCUACGGGAGGCAGCAGGGGGGAAUAUUACACAAUGGGCGGAAGCGUGUUGCAGCAGCGCUGCGUGCGGGAUGACGUCCUACGGGUUAUGAACCGCUUUCGAAGGUGACGUAGCCGUAGUGACGGUAACGAGUAAGAAAGCACCGGCUAACUACGUG
This 468-nucleotide ribosomal RNA is filed under the name uncultured bacterium. Its description in RNAcentral is "partial 16S ribosomal RNA". It matches the Rfam family "Bacterial small subunit ribosomal RNA", at positions 28 to 507 of the family's 1533-position model. The record is from RNAcentral.